UCGCCUCUAAACAUCGCAUCUUCAUUCAUUUUUAUGCAGAUCGAGAUAUUUACUAGUCAAAACAGAGGGUAUCGUGCAGAGACAGCUGUAGUUACUUAUUGAUGGAAUAGGAAAGACUGCGUUGACAAGUAAAAACUCAGAAUCCUUAUUGUAAGUUUACUUUCUCUGAUCCAUUAUCUGCUUCGUCAUGUUUAGUAAAAUGAAAAUAUAUGGUAUAAUAUCUCUCAUGGGCACUACUUUAAGAAAUUUUUCCUUGUAAAGAUGGUAGCCUUGUGAGGAAAAAGAAGAGAGGGGAAAUAGAUGGUUUCUACUUUCUAGUGUUAUUUCUAAAAAAGACUUUGGUUUAGUCUUUAGAGCUAGAAAAUUCAGAUUGGUCAUUGCUGGUGUUUUUGACAGUUAGAUUUCUUGUAUUCCAGAGUUUUGGGCAGCAUAGGAGGGAGCUCAUAACUACAUAGAUUGCAUUGCGGAUUCUUUCCAUUUUAAGUGAAGAGGAAUUCUUAUCCAGUACAUACCCACUUAAUUUGAAUAACACGCUUGAUAAGCUUGUCAUAAAGGUAAAAUCCCAAAUUUCUCGGAGUUAAAUAAUGUGGUAAAUCGAAUGCAUAUUUAUAAUCUAUAUUGAAGUUGUAAUGAUCAGAAUAUUGAACCCUUUAAGUUGAACAGGAUCUCUAUUUGUAUUCAUCCCCUUUUCAAAUUGUUACUUAAUCUUGAGGUUCUUUCAUUGUGAACAACUGCUGAUGUUGCUGUGAUUUGUGCCCCUCUGCCCCCAAUUUACUAAACGUUUUGGCUUGGAAAUUCUCAACUACCGUUACUGAAUAUUUCGAUCAAUACAAAGUCUUUCUUAUUGGUAAAGACAGAUUGACCUUUCACACAGGCUCGUAGAGAGAGCUUGUUGUAACAUCAUUGAUUUUCCUGUUUUGCCCAACACCUACAAAUAUCUUUCUAAAAUUAAUUUACUGCAGAUUGAUGGUUGUAAGAGGAAUCUAGGUGAAAUUCGGUAAAUAAAUACAUGGUCAGAUUCUGAAGAAAGAUAUAUCAUAUACACCUUUCAUUUCUUAAGAACUUGUGAAGAUCUAUGGGAGUUGUGGUGCACUUGAGCCACGUCUCCUCAUUAUCCUCAUUCUUAGUGAUCCUAGUAGUGAUCACCAAGUUGGUGCUUAUUUAGUUAUUUCCAAGGUGCUUAUAAUUGUCUCCCUUUUGAGUUGCCAAUGAUUUACAACCUACUUGAAUCCUUUUGCAGCCUACAAGGAAGCUACACUAGAAAAUAUACCAUCUGUUGCUUGUUAUGAAACUGAUAUCAAACCCUGAGAUAUUAUCUUUUUCAUUUCUCCCCAUUUUUUGCCCUCAAAUCCUAAGAGGCUUCUGCAUCUACCCGGUUUCCUCCUAAGCGGAACUAACAUCACAUGUAACUCCGUAGUGUUUCUACAAAUUACUAAUUUGUUUUUAAUGUUUGUUACUCUGGAACUAGUAUAUCCUUAGAUAAGUGAUAAAAAUGGUAGUUUUUCUUAUGUUCACAUCCGGUGUCUUUUAUCUUUGUGACUGGUGAAACUGGAAUUGCAAAGUACUUUGGUUUUGGCUUUCUCUACAAAGAAGGUUGUUUGCAAGUGCUCGGGGAGCUACUUUGAUUUAGGUAUCUCUCUCUCUUUUCAUGUGGAUUAUUUGGCUCCUUUCCAUUACAUCCAAUCUAUAGUUACUCUCAUAGAAGUUGAGCUGAAUUACAUCUGUCUUGUCCAAGAUCCAAAGGUACAAACAAACUUAUUCAUGGUGUAGCUUUUUUACUUUAUUAUCUCGCCAAGUUGAUACUAUACAAUAGGCUUAUUGUACCUUUGUUCCUAAUAUGGAUACAUGUGGGUGUCUAUAUGCUUUUCAAGAAUUUGAAGUCCUUUUAUUAAUUUUUUUUAUAUUAUUCUUUUUACAGAUCAUGAAUUAUGUCUGAAGAACUUGUCAUGAGAGCAAGUGCUGAGAAAGUAUAAGCAAUUGAAAUGUUAAAAGAACAAGUUGAAGAAUUAGAGAGACCUACUGUUGUGUUAGUAUUUGUUUAGAAAUGUUCUCAUUUGUAAAUGCCACAAUUCUAUCUCUUUAUUAGGCCUUUAUUGGAAGAUUGUUAUGCUUUGGAUGGGUAUAUUUUUUGGUAAUGUUAUGCUUCUGUAUUUGUAAUUGACCAU
Molecule: long non-coding RNA, 2165 nt
Filed under: Nicotiana tabacum (common tobacco)
Lineage: Eukaryota; Viridiplantae; Streptophyta; Magnoliopsida; Solanales; Solanaceae
Description: long non-coding RNA (NTAB_LNC009032)
Source: RNAcentral